CGGGGAGUUUUUUGCCUCUAGGUGGGAUUAGUGGCGAACGGGUGAGUAACACGUGAGCAACCUGCCCCUGACUCUGGGAUAAGCGCUGGAAACGGCGUCUAAUACUGGAUAUGUCCCAUCACCGCAUGGUGUGUGGGUGGAAAGAUUUAUCGGUUGGGGAUGGGCUCGCGGCCUAUCAGCUUGUUGGUGAGGUAAUGGCUCACCAAGGCGUCGACGGGUAGCCGGCCUGAGAGGGUGACCGGCCACACUGGGACUGAGACACGGCCCAGACUCCUACGGGAGGCAGCAGUGGGGAAUAUUGCACAAUGGGCGAAAGCCUGAUGCAGCAACGCCGCGUGAGGGAUGACGGCCUUCGGGUUGUAAACCUCUUUUAGCAGGGAAGAAGCGAAAGUGACGGUACCUGCAGAAAAAGCACCGGCUAACUACGUGCCAGCAGCCGCGGUAAUACGUAGGGUGCAAGCGUUAUCCGGAAUUAUUGGGCGUAAAGAGCUCGUAGGCGGUCUGUCGCGUCUGCUGUGAAAUCCCGAGGCUCAACCUCGGGGCUUGCAGUGGGUACGGGCAGACUAGAGUGCGGUAGGGGGAGAUUGGAAAUUCCUGGUGUAGCGGUGGAGUGCGCAGAUAUCAGGAGGGAACACCGAUGGCGAAGGGCAGAUCUCUGGGCCGUAACUGACGCUGAGGAGCGAAAGGGUGGGGAGCAAACAGGCUUAGAUACCCUGGUAGUCCCACCCCGUAAACGUUGGGAACUAGUUGUGGGGUCCUUUCCACGGAUUCCGUGACGCAGCUAACGCACUAAGUUCCCCGCCUGGGGAGUACGGCCGCAAGGCUAUAACUCAAAGGAAUAGACGGGGACCCGCACAAGCGGCGGAGCAUGCGGAUUAAUUCGAUGCAACGCGAAGAACCUUACCAAGGCUUGACAUACGCGAGAACGGGCCAGAAAUGGUCAACUCUUUGGACACUCGUGAACAGGUGGUGCAUGGUUGUCGUCAGCUCGUGUCGUGAGAUGUUGGGUUAAGUCCCGCAACGAGCGCAACCCUCGUUCUAUGUUGCCAGCACGUAAUGGUGGGAACUCAUGGGAUACUGCCGGGGUCAACUCGGAGGAAGGUGGGGAUGACGUCAAAUCAUCAUGCCCCUUAUGUCUUGGGCUUCACGCAUGCUACAAUGGCCGGUACAAUGGGCUGCGAUACCGUAAGGUGGAGCGAAUCCCAAAAAGCCGGUCCCAGUUCGGAUUGAGGUCUGCAACUCGACCUCAUGAAGUCGGAGUCGCUAGUAAUCGCAGAUCAGCAACGCUGCGGUGAAUACGUUCCCGGGUCUUGUACACACCGCCCGUCACAGUCUAUGAAAAAAAUUACUGGGU
This 1354-nucleotide ribosomal RNA is filed under the name Microbacterium sp. Its description in RNAcentral is "bacterial SSU rRNA". It matches the Rfam family "Bacterial small subunit ribosomal RNA", at positions 67 to 1424 of the family's 1533-position model. The record is from RNAcentral. Lineage: Bacteria; Bacillati; Actinomycetota; Actinomycetes; Micrococcales; Microbacteriaceae.